RNAcentral lists this small nuclear RNA (106 nucleotides) under Pongo abelii (Sumatran orangutan). Lineage: Eukaryota; Metazoa; Chordata; Mammalia; Primates; Hominidae. The record is from RNAcentral.
GUGCUCACUUUGGCAGCACAUAUACUAAAAUUGAAAUGACACAGAGAAGGUUAGCAUGGCCCCUGUGCAAGGAUGACAUGCAAAUUCAUGAAGCAUCCAUAUUUUU